ACGCACGCUGGCGGCGUGCUUAACACAUGCAAGUCGCACGGAAAGGCCCUGCUUGCCGGGUACUCGAGUGGCGAACGGGUGAGUAACACGUGGGUGAUCUGCCCUGCACUUCGGGAUAAGCCUGGGAAACUGGGUCUAAUACCGGAUAGGAGCCAUUUUUAGUGUGAUGGUUGGAAAGUUUUUUCGGUGUAGGAUGAGCUCGCGGCCUAUCAGCUUGUUGGUGGGGUAAUGGCCUACCAAGGCGGCGACGGGUAGCCGGCCUGAGAGGGUGGACGGCCACAUUGGGACUGAGAUACGGCCCAGACUCCUACGGGAGGCAGCAGUGGGGAAUAUUGCACAAUGGGCGCAAGCCUGAUGCAGCGACGCCGCGUGGGGGAUGACGGCCUUCGGGUUGUAAACUCCUUUCGCUAGGGACGAAGCUUUUUGUGACGGUACCUAGAUAAGAAGCACCGGCUAACUACGUG
Molecule: ribosomal RNA, 464 nt
Filed under: uncultured bacterium
Lineage: Bacteria
Description: partial 16S ribosomal RNA
Rfam family: Bacterial small subunit ribosomal RNA
Source: RNAcentral